RNAcentral lists this non-coding RNA (104 nucleotides) under Sellimonas intestinalis. RNAcentral describes it as "pemK RNA". It matches the Rfam family "pemK RNA". RNAcentral also lists the same sequence under 1 other name. Lineage: Bacteria; Bacillati; Bacillota; Clostridia; Lachnospirales; Lachnospiraceae. The record is from RNAcentral.
AUAAUGAUACUCCCGUCCAGUCACAGUCCGAGUGGUAGCCAGUCCACCGCAGGCAAUGAGGGCGGCUCUGUCAGAACGAGACAGUUGGGGGUGAAACUCCCGUG